Molecule: long non-coding RNA, 284 nt
Filed under: Marmota monax (woodchuck)
Lineage: Eukaryota; Metazoa; Chordata; Mammalia; Rodentia; Sciuridae
Source: RNAcentral
GCGGUCUCCCGGUGGCGGUGGCGGCGGCGGCGGUGGCUUUGUCUCGUGGGCCGGUCCCCGGCGGCUCCCUCCCCCGAGCAGCUGCCGCCCGAGGGAGAGGGAGGAAGCCUCCCGGCGCCGACACCCCGCGCGCUCGCCGUCGCCACGACCAUGUAAGGGCCAUGAGAAGGGCUGGUCCUGGCGCAGCGCGGACAUGGAGGAGGACCUGUUCCAGCUCAGGCAGCUGCCGUGAGUGCCGGGCCCGGGCGCGGGCAGGGGGGUCACCGCGAAACCUGCCGCGGGGA